Molecule: ribosomal RNA, 467 nt
Filed under: uncultured bacterium
Lineage: Bacteria
Description: bacterial SSU rRNA
Rfam family: Bacterial small subunit ribosomal RNA
Source: RNAcentral
CGAGGACGAACGCUGGCGGUGUGCUUAACACAUGCAAGUCGAACGGAUCACAUGAUUUCGGUUGUGUGGUGAGUGGCGAACGGGUGAGUAACACGUGAGUAACCUGCCCCCCUUCUCUGGGAUAACUGUUGGAAACGGCGGCUAAUACCGGAUAUUCACUUUCUCUCGCAUGGGGGUUGGUGGAAAGUUUUUUCGGUGGGGGAUGGGCUCGCGGCCUAUCAGCUUGUUGGUGGGGUAGUGGCCUACCAAGGCUUUGACGGGUAGCCGGCCUGGGAGGGCGACCGGCCACACUGGGACUGAGAUACGGCCCAGACUCCUACGGGAGGCAGCAGUGGGGAAUAUUGCACAAUGGACGAAAGUCUGAUGCAGCAACGCCGCGUGCGGGAUGAAGGCCUUCGGGUUGUAAACCGCUUUCACCAGGGACGAAUGUGACGGUACCUGGAGAAGAAGCACCGGCUAACUACGUG